GGGGCGCUCCGGCCUGACUGCUGACUGCAGGGAGGGCGCCCGGCACCUUCGUCCGGCGGCCAAGGGCGGUGUCGCGGCAUCGGGCCCAGCCAGCCGCGGUCGGCUCGAUCCACGGACGCUGCCCCACCCUUGAACUGGGUCUUUCAGUAAACUGCAUCCACACCCACCUUUCCACUCUGGAUACCCGAGAGGGGCUGGAAACCUGGGUCGCGGAACCAGGGGGAGGGGCUGCCUCCAAAAGGGGUCCUCGCCUCCUCGGAAGGCUUGGAAAAGGAGGCUCAAAGAGCUGACUAGCUACAAAGCUAGUAAGUGAGGACAUCUAGAUUCCUUCUACAAAGACAAAGCCCAGAUGGGCCCCCAGUACACAGUCCAUCCCACUGAUGCUGUUCCCAGGUUCCUAAGGCCUGGCCUCCUACCUUCUCCCCAUGUCUGCCUCCAACUAGGACAUCUUGGACUCUUCAUGACCAGCCAAGCUUGGUCCCCUCCAGAGAAUGGCCCUGCCCCAGCAGGCCCAGGCACAUGAGGACUGCCCGUGGAUUACUGGCAACAAAUGUCCUUGGCCGAGGCUCCCUCCUCCCGCCACCCAGUCUGCACCCAGCCUGCUUUCUCCUCUGCUCACUCCUCCCCCAGUCCCCGCCCCUGUUGUCUGUUGGAAUAUAAUCAAAGAAGCACACAGGCAGAUUUUUAAAUAAUGCCUGCCCAGCCUCAGGUGACUCAUCCGAUGGCUGUGAGCUCCAACUCUCCUCCAUGUGGGCGUCGCCAGCACCACCACAUUGGCACACAGCAAAGCUAUGCUGCACAGCACCCAUGUAGAUGAUAACAGGGGGAAACGAGGCCCACUGAUCCUCCCUUUCCCUGGAAUAGGCUUUUGGCAAGCUUUGGGGAAAGGUGGUUUUCUCCCCUACGCUCCUGUAUAAAAAGGAGCAGAUCUUCUGGCUGUUGGGCAGGGUGGUGGGGGAGGAGAGCCAACAUCCUCCUGCCACCUGUCAUUUCCUGCUUUGGACUUGAUGUCACUGUCGAGUGUUUGAGCCAUCCCUGCCCUGAAGGCACUUUGGGGUGAUGAUGACAAAAUUCAGACUGGAAAGGAAAGGAAUGAAUUGCCAGUAGAAGGCUGGGCCGGGCCUGCAUUUUACAGAGGGACUCAGGAUCUCACGUUUCGCUCUGCUGGGCUGUUCUUAUUUCCUGCCUUCCAUGAGAGGAGUCUUGUGAAAGCACCCGGGAGAUGUGGGAUGAUGAUGAACAUUACUCUCAGUGGAUGCCAUCUCUAACGCGACACAUGUGAUCUGGUUGAGAGAGAUUUAAUUGGGAUUCUGAAAUUUUGAGCAUCAGUAGAAUAAUGAAAACCCAAGAGCCAUUCCAGCAGUAAAGUUGUAUGAAUUAUUCUGGAACAGCCUCACAGUGUAUUUGUUUGUGUCCUCAGAGGAGGUCCAGGGGACAAAGCACUUCCACUUCUCUUUCCUGUGAAACUCGUCUAAAAUAGCCUUGCCUGCUAUAUGUGUGCUGUGAGCACACAUCUUCAAGCUUUUGAAUAAAAGCAUUUCUUUAUGAAGAUGGAGGAAAUUUACUUAAAGCACCUAAAGUGCUUCCUCUUUAUAAAGACCACCUAGGUGUCAGUUGAUCAUCCUACUCUUGAUUUUAGCUCAGGACAUGAUCCCAGGGUUGUGGGGUCCAGCUCCGCACCUAGUGUGGAGCCCACUUAAGAUUCUCUCUCUCCCCCUGCCCCUCUCCCCUGCUCGUGCUCUCUCUCUCUAAAAUAAAAAUAAAUAGGGGCACCUGGGUGUCUCAGUCGGUUAA
Neofelis nebulosa (Clouded leopard) is the source of this 1794-nucleotide long non-coding RNA. RefSeq lists it as uncharacterized. The record is from RefSeq and is a predicted model, not a curated record. NCBI's taxonomy places the organism in Eukaryota, Metazoa, Chordata, Mammalia, Carnivora, Felidae. The transcript has 4 exons.